CUGCAUGGUUGUCGUCAGCUCGUGCCGUGAGGUGUCGGCUUAAGUGCCAUAACGAGCGCAACCUCAUCAUUAGUUACCAUCAGGUAAGGCUGGGGACGUCUAAUGAGACUGCCAUCGUAAGAUGUGAGGAGGGUGGGGAUGACGUCAAAUCAGCACGGCCCUUACGUCCGGGGCGACACACGUGUUACAAUGGGUGGUACAAAGGGCAGCUACCUGGCGACAGGAUGCUAAUCUCCAAAACCACUCUCAGUUCGGAUCGGAGUCUGCAACUCGACUCCGUGAAGCUGGAUUCGCUAGUAAUCGCGCAUCAGCCACGGCGCGGUGAAUACGUUCCCGGGCCUU
Molecule: ribosomal RNA, 342 nt
Filed under: uncultured Proteiniphilum sp.
Lineage: Bacteria; Pseudomonadati; Bacteroidota; Bacteroidia; Bacteroidales; Dysgonomonadaceae
Description: bacterial SSU rRNA
Rfam family: Bacterial small subunit ribosomal RNA
Source: RNAcentral